Molecule: ribosomal RNA, 466 nt
Filed under: uncultured bacterium
Lineage: Bacteria
Description: bacterial SSU rRNA
Rfam family: Bacterial small subunit ribosomal RNA
Source: RNAcentral
UCCUACGGGUGGCAGCAGUGGGGAAUAUUGGACAAUGGGCGAAAGCCUGAUCCAGCCAUGCCGCGUGUGUGAAGAAGGUCUUAGGAUUGUAAAGCACUUUAAGUUGGGAGGAAGGGCAGUUACCUAAUACGUGAUUGUUUUGACGUUACCGACAGAAUAAGCACCGGCUAACUCUGUGCCAGCAGCCGCGGUAAUACAGAGGGUGCAAGCGUUAAUCGGAAUUACUGGGCGUAAAGCGCGCGUAGGUGGUUUGUUAAGUUGGAUGUGAAAUCCCCGGGCUCAACCUGGGAACUGCAUUCAAAACUGACUGACUAGAGUAUGGUAGAGGGUGGUGGAAUUUCCUGUGUAGCGGUGAAAUGCGUAGAUAUAGGAAGGAACACCAGUGGCGAAGGCGACCACCUGGACUAAUACUGACACUGAGGUGCGAAAGCGUGGGGAGCAAACAGGAUUAGAUACCCCUGUAGUC